GCGAACGGGUGAGUAACACGUGGGCAAUCUGCCCUUCACUCUGGGACANNCNNUGGAAACGGGGUCUAAUACCGGAUAAUACCUGCCUGGGCAUCUGGGUGGGUUGAAAGCUCCGGCGGUGAAGGAUGAGCCCGCGGCCUAUCAGCUUGUUGGUGAGGUAGUGGCUCACCAAGGCGACGACGGGUAGCCGGCCUGAGAGGGCGACCGGCCACACUGGGACUGAGACACGGCCCAGACUCCUACGGGAGGCAGCAGUGGGGAAUAUUGCACAAUGGGCGAAAGCCUGAUGCAGCGACGCCGCGUGAGGGAUGACGGCCUUCGGGUUGUAAACCUCUUUCAGCAGGGAAGAAGCGAAAGUGACGGUACCUGCAGAAGAAGCGCCGGCUAACUACGUGCCNGCAGCCGCGGUAAUACGUAGGGCGCAAGCGUUGUCCGGAAUUAUUGGGCGUAAAGAGCUCGUAGGCGGCUUGUCACGUCGGGUGUGAAAGCCCGGGGCUUAACCCCGGGUCUGCAUUCGAUACGGGCUAGCUAGAGUGUGGUAGGGGAGAUCGGAAUUCCUGGUGUAGCGGUGAAAUGCGCAGAUAUCAGGAGGAACACCGGUGGCGAAGGCGGAUCUCUGGGNCAUUACUGACGCUGAGGAGCGAAAGCGUGGGGAGCGAACAGGAUUAGAUACCCUGGUAGUCCACGCCGUAAACGGUGGGAACUAGGUGUUGGCGACAUUCCACGUCGUCGGUGCCGCAGCUAACGCAUUAAGUUCCCCCGCCUGGGGAGUACGGCCGCAAGGNUNAAACUCAAAGGAAUUGACGGGGGGCCCGCACAAGCNGNGNAGCAUGUGGGCUUAUUUCGACGCAACGCGAANAACCUUACCAAGGCUUGACAUA
This 881-nucleotide ribosomal RNA is filed under the name Streptomyces sp. MIDD03. RNAcentral's name for it is "bacterial SSU rRNA". It matches the Rfam family "Bacterial small subunit ribosomal RNA", at positions 98 to 988 of the family's 1533-position model. Lineage: Bacteria; Bacillati; Actinomycetota; Actinomycetes; Kitasatosporales; Streptomycetaceae. The record is from RNAcentral.